Molecule: long non-coding RNA, 206 nt
Filed under: Drosophila guanche
Lineage: Eukaryota; Metazoa; Arthropoda; Insecta; Diptera; Drosophilidae
Source: RNAcentral
CAGAAACCACUCGCCUAAUUAAAUGGUAGUACGAUUGGGAGGAGAACUGACUGUUGGGUGAAUUCUGAUUGAAAUGGAAACGAAAAUAGAAAUUUUGGUAAUUUAUUUAACGGCACAUGUAGCAACAUUGGAAAUCAAACGAUAUUUUUGGCCAACUAAAAGGCAUUUAAUGAGAUUAUUUAAUGGCAGCAAAAGGGUAAUAGGUG